This 117-nucleotide small nucleolar RNA is filed under the name Phocoena sinus (vaquita). RNAcentral describes it as "Small nucleolar RNA SNORA69 (ENSPSNG00000013575.1)". It matches the Rfam family "Small nucleolar RNA SNORA69", at positions 25 to 132 of the family's 132-position model. From Rfam's summary of the family: U69 is a member of the H/ACA class of small nucleolar RNAs (snoRNAs) which act as guides in the the modification of uridines to pseudouridines. Lineage: Eukaryota; Metazoa; Chordata; Mammalia; Artiodactyla; Phocoenidae. The record is from Rfam by way of RNAcentral.
UAAUUUUGUUAAAAUAACCAUACUACUGACAUUAUCCUGCUGAAAGAAAAUCUGUGUUGAUCGUUUUUGAUUUUGCCUUUAUGGGGGUAAACUCAUAACAGAUUGACAUUAAAAAAU